This 481-nucleotide ribosomal RNA is filed under the name uncultured bacterium. Its description in RNAcentral is "partial 16S ribosomal RNA". It matches the Rfam family "Bacterial small subunit ribosomal RNA", at positions 28 to 506 of the family's 1533-position model. The record is from RNAcentral.
GACGAACGCUGGCGGCGUGCUUAACACAUGCAAGUCGAACGAUGAAGAAGAGAAACGCGAACUUCGGUUCAAAUUUCACUUCGGAUUAGUGGCAGACGGGUGAGUAACGCGUGAGCAACCUACCUCUUACAAAGGGAUAGCCUCGGGAAACCGUGAUUAAUACCAUAUGACACAUUCAUAAGGCAUCUUAAGAAUGUUAAAGCUACGGCGGUAAGAGAUGGGCUCGCGUCCCAUUAGCUAGUUGGUGAGGUAACGGCCCACCAAGGCGACGAUGGGUAACCGGCAGGGGGGGGUGAGCGGUCAAAUGGAAACGGAGCCCCGAACCAAACCCCUGGGGGGGGAGGCAGGGGGGAUUAUAGCACAAGGGGGGCACCUCUGAUGCGGCGCCGCCGGGAGAGGGAGGAAGUAUUUCUUUAAGAAAGCCUCUUUUUUAGGGAAAAAAAAGGACGGCACCAAAGGAAAAACCCCCGAAAAAAUACGU